Molecule: non-coding RNA, 113 nt
Organism: Acanthosepion pharaonis
Lineage: Eukaryota; Metazoa; Mollusca; Cephalopoda; Sepiida; Sepiidae
Source: the annotation of a GenBank genome assembly
GUUGAAACACCGGUUCUCGUACGAUCAGCGAAGUUAAGCAACGUCGAGCAUGCUCAGAUGGAUGGCGGCUGUUCUUAGAUGGGUGACCGCUUGAGAAUUUCAGGUGCUGUAUU